Molecule: ribosomal RNA, 433 nt
Filed under: uncultured bacterium
Lineage: Bacteria
Description: partial 16S ribosomal RNA
Rfam family: Bacterial small subunit ribosomal RNA
Source: RNAcentral
AACGAACGCUGGCGGCAUGCCUAACACAUGCAAGUCGAACGAGACCUUCGGGUCUAGUGGCGCACGGGUGCGUAACGCGUGGGAACCUGCCCUUAGGUUCGGAAUAACGCCCCGAAAGGGGUGCGAAUACCGGAUAAUGUCUUCGGACCAAAGAUUUAUCGCCUUUGGAUGGGCUCGCGUUGGAUUAGCUAGUUGGUAGGGUAAAAGCCUACCAAGGCGACGAUCCAUAGCUGGUCUGAGAGGAUGAUCAGCCACACUGGGACUGAGACACGGCCCAGACUCCUACGGGAGGCAGCAGUGGGGAAUAUUGGACAAUGGGCGAAAGCCUGAUCCAGCAAUGCCGCGUGAGUGAUGAAGGCCUUAGGGUUGUAAAGCUAUUUUACCCGGGAUGAUAAUGACAGUACCGGGAGAAUAAGCUCCGGCUAACUCCGUG